CAAGAGAAAAAGAGAAAAAGGAAAAGUAAAAUGUACCCGAGUACUUAUCAAAAAUCUACACCAAUCACAAAAAGAAAACCGAGACUGACCAAAAUUUCACUGCGAAAGAGUGAAUUCUCUUCAAUACAAAAAACCUCAACAACCAAAUGACCAAUUCGGCACUUCACCACCCCCUAGCCGAAUUUCCCACACUCAAACUCCCCCAAACGACACACUAUCUCCCUCCUAAUCAAACUCCUCAAUUCUCUCCUAAAAUCCCUCCACCGAAAUUUUCUCCUUGAUUUACUCCAACUCCCUAUUCAAAUUCAAUUCAAAUGCUUAUGACUAAUUCAACCACAGAGUUCCAGUCCAGUUGCAACACUUCCCCAGCUCAAGUAGCAAAAUAAACAUACAAUUGCACAUGCCAUGCCCUGAACCUCGGACUCCUUGUCACACAUGAAGCACCAC
This 447-nucleotide long non-coding RNA is filed under the name Gossypium raimondii (Peruvian cotton). RNAcentral's name for it is "long non-coding RNA (GRAI_LNC000551)". The record is from RNAcentral. Lineage: Eukaryota; Viridiplantae; Streptophyta; Magnoliopsida; Malvales; Malvaceae.